AUGGAGUAGGAGCUUGCUCCAUCCACUCCAUUUAUCAGCCCUGUAUUACAGACUCCAGGA
RNAcentral lists this small nuclear RNA (60 nucleotides) under Cervus elaphus hippelaphus. The record is from RNAcentral. Lineage: Eukaryota; Metazoa; Chordata; Mammalia; Artiodactyla; Cervidae.